This 22-nucleotide microRNA is filed under the name Cavia porcellus (domestic guinea pig). Its description in RNAcentral is "cpo-miR-760-3p". Its record names the gene cpo-miR-760-3p. The record is from miRBase by way of RNAcentral. Lineage: Eukaryota; Metazoa; Chordata; Mammalia; Rodentia; Caviidae.
CGGCUCUGGGUCUGUGGGGGAC